GCGAGGGUGGCGGAAUUGGCAGACGCGCCAGGUUUAGGUCCUGGUGCCUAACGGCGUGCAGGUUCGAGUCCUGUCCCUCGCA
Molecule: transfer RNA, 82 nt
Filed under: Planctomycetota bacterium
Lineage: Bacteria; Pseudomonadati; Planctomycetota
Description: Planctomycetes bacterium tRNA-Leu
Rfam family: tRNA
About the family: Transfer RNA (tRNA) molecules are approximately 80 nucleotides in length. Their secondary structure includes four short double-helical elements and three loops (D, anti-codon, and T loops).
Source: RNAcentral